AGGUGGCCUCCAGCCUCUCCAAGAGACAGCUGCUUAAGGAUAACAAAUAGAAGAUGGACUUCUGCAUACCAGCAAGUGGGCCCUUACAAGAUACCAAAUCUGCCAACAUCUUGAUCUUGGACUUCCCAGCCUCCAGAACUAAUUACCCGAAGCCCAAAGGGAGCUCCAUAUUUGGUAGGAUAUAUGCCCCUCCCUUGGCAGCCCACAGCCAAUGCCUGACUGACAUGUGGAAGCCACGCCCCCUUGGCACCAG
This is a long non-coding RNA of Physeter macrocephalus (sperm whale), 253 nucleotides long. RefSeq lists it as uncharacterized. The transcript is spliced from 3 exons. Lineage: Eukaryota; Metazoa; Chordata; Mammalia; Artiodactyla; Physeteridae. The record is from RefSeq and is a predicted model, not a curated record.